AACUAGCCCCGAUAGUAACGGCAUCCUUUUUAUUUUUUUAGCAAAAAAAAAUAAAAAGAUAUAGUGGAUAGCGGGAUUAAGC
RNAcentral lists this small RNA (82 nucleotides) under Epilithonimonas pallida. Its description in RNAcentral is "Flavo-1 RNA". It matches the Rfam family "Flavo-1 RNA". The record is from RNAcentral. Lineage: Bacteria; Pseudomonadati; Bacteroidota; Flavobacteriia; Flavobacteriales; Weeksellaceae.